CCUUAAGACUCUUUUUUAUUAGAUCAUUGUAUCUAGUUAUGGUAGUGCUAUAUUAUAAUUUUUCGAUGAUUAUUAGUUUGAUCUGUGUAGUGGAAAAAAGUACCAAAAUAAAUUACAGAACUCAAUAGUUUUGGUUGUGCAUAAAACAAAAUAAAACCGAGAAUAAUGUGAUGAAUCAUGAAAAAACUUUGCUAAUAAUUGGAAUGGCUCACACCUGCUGCAUGUGAUGAAUCAUGUAAAUAAUUUAAGCGUUUCAUGAAAUAUUUAUAAUACAUGAAAGUGAUACUCAUUAAAUGUGCAUAGCUUGUAUCAAAUAUGGAUUGCCCAAAUGUGUAUUGGGUGUUUGCUUUUAGUUAGUUUAUCUGUUUUCAACCUGAUGUUGUUGGUUAAGUUUAGUUGAUAAGGAAAAUAUCUGACAUAUUUGAUCCAAAGGCCUGUUUGUAUUGGCAUGCCAAGUGGUGCGUAUUCUAAUGGACAUGCUUACUGUUUUGUUGUUCAUGAAGAAUGAACUGGAUAGACUGUAUUUGUGCAGGGGUUCAAGUCUGUUUAUUUGGUUUUGCUAGUGAUUUUCUGCAUCUUUCUUCAGCAGUCAUUCAUUAGGCUCUAUUACCGUGUACUGGAUUAUCACAAUUAGAUAGACUCUUGUGUUUGUACUUGUCAUUCGAUUUUUUGAAGGUGGCAUGGCAUCAUCCCAAUCAUCAUCUUCAUUUGGUGAUUUUGUGAUGGAAUCACCAACUUGUUGGUGUGGCUUGAAAACACAACUAAAGACAUCCCGCACUAAGUCUAAUCCGUUGAGAAAAUUUUUUGCUUGCCCAAAAUAUGAUACGGGCGAUGCACGAUGUGAAUUCUUCGUGUGGACGGAUAUAUAUCUUUUGCUAGAUCAAAACAUUCGGAGUAGAGAGACUAAAGUUUGGACUAUGUGGGAUGAGGUCUUGCUGCGAGAGUGCCAAGUGCAGAAAAGGGAGGAGAAAGUAAACGAGAGAGAGAGAAGCCUGAAAAAAUCUAAUAGAACAUUAUUGUGUUUGUAUUGGAUUCUUACAGCUGUAAUAAUUAUAGCUUGGUUUGGAUAAAUUGGAAGUUGACUGUCAUGUAUGGAAACUUUUCAUUUUGUGCU
Carya illinoinensis is the source of this 1114-nucleotide long non-coding RNA. RefSeq lists it as uncharacterized. The record is from RefSeq and is a predicted model, not a curated record. Lineage: Eukaryota; Viridiplantae; Streptophyta; Magnoliopsida; Fagales; Juglandaceae. The transcript is spliced from 2 exons.